UACGGAGGGUGCAAGCAUUGAUCGGAAUUACUGGGCGUAAAGGGCGCGUAGGCGGUUUGGAAAGUCAGAUGUGAAAUUCCGGGGCUCAACCCCGGAGCUGCAUUUGAAACUUCCAGACUAGAGUUCAGUUAGGGAGAACAGAAUUCCACGUGUAGCGGUGAAAUGCGUAGAUAUGUGGAAGAAUACCGGUGGUGAAGACGGUUUUCUGGGCUGAUACUGACGCUGAGGCGCGAAAGCAAGGGGAGCAAACAGG
RNAcentral lists this ribosomal RNA (253 nucleotides) under uncultured bacterium. RNAcentral describes it as "partial 16S ribosomal RNA". It matches the Rfam family "Bacterial small subunit ribosomal RNA", at positions 524 to 776 of the family's 1533-position model. The record is from RNAcentral.